AUGUGAGGAGGAGUCAAUGCAAAACUCAGAUAUCUUCCACCUCUACUUAUCUGACUGCAGAGAGGAGGACAGAGAACAGUGGACACACAGUUUAACAUGAUGGACUAUAGGACAGGACUGCUGCUUUUAACUAUCUGCUGGGCAGGUGUUGAUGGUCAGACUCUGACAGAAUCUGAACCAGUGAUUAAAAGGCCUGGAGAAUCUCACAGACUGACCUGUACAGCCUCUGGACUGACAGUCAGUGGCUACUGGAUGAACUGGGUCAGACAGGCUCCUGGAAAAGGACUGGAGUGGAUUGCCACUAUUGAUGUUACUAGCACCUACUACUCUCAGUCAGUCAAAGGCCGGUUCACCAUCUCCAGAGACAACAGCAGACAGCAGGUGUAUCUGCAGAUGAACAGUCUGAAGACUGAAGAUUCUGCUGUUUAUUAUUGUGCUCGAGAGACACAGUGACUGGAGUUGGUUGAGCAGCUGUACAAAAA
This is a non-coding RNA of Epinephelus moara (kelp grouper), 482 nucleotides long. NCBI's taxonomy places the organism in Eukaryota, Metazoa, Chordata, Actinopteri, Perciformes, Serranidae. The record is from the annotation of a RefSeq genome assembly.